This is a long non-coding RNA of Austrofundulus limnaeus, 749 nucleotides long. RefSeq lists it as uncharacterized. The transcript has 4 exons. The record is from RefSeq and is a predicted model, not a curated record. NCBI's taxonomy places the organism in Eukaryota, Metazoa, Chordata, Actinopteri, Cyprinodontiformes, Rivulidae.
UAGGUUAGGUUAAUCUAUAAGACAGCAGGCUGGUAGCUGAUGGUUAGUUUAGUUAGGUCAGAUUAGUUAGUUUAGGUUAGGAUUGGUUAGGUUAGUUAGGUUAAUGUUAGUUAGCUUAGGUUAAUCUGUAAGACAUCAAGCUGUAGCUGAUGGUUAGUUAGUUUAGAUUAGGGUUAGUUAGCUUAGGUUAAUCUGUAAGACAUCAAGCUGUAACUGAUGGUUAGUUAGUUUAGGUUAGGGUUAGUUAGCUUAGGUUAAUCUGUAAGACAUCAGGCUGUAGCUGAUGGUUAGGUUAGUUUAGUUUAGGUUAGGGUUACAUUAAUCUGUAAGACAUCAAGCUGUAACUGAUGGUUAGGUUAGUUAGUUUAGGUUAGGGUUAGUUAGCUUAGGUUAAUCUGUCAGACAUCAAGCUGUAACUGAUGGUUAGUUAGUUUAGGUUAGUGUUAGUUAGCUUAGGUUAAUCUGUAAGACAUCAGGCUGUAGCUGAUGGUAAGGUUAGUUUAGUUUAGGUUAGGGUUAGGUUAAUCUGUAAGACAUCAAGCUGUAACUGAUGGUUAGGUUAGUUAGUUUAGGUUCAGGUUAGUUAGGUUAGGUUAAUCUGUAAGACAUCAGGCUGUAGCUGAUGGUUAGGUUAGUUAGUUUAGGUUAGGUUAGUUAGGUUAGGUUAAUCUGUAAGACAUCAGGCUGUAGCUGAUGGUUAGGUUAGUUUAGGUUAGGUUAGUUAGGUUAGGUUAAUCUGUAAGACAUCA